AUGGAAAAACCUCAGUUUAGGGUUUAAAACCCUAAUGCUGGCUGAAUGGAAAGAGUUCAGUUUAGGGUUUAAAACCCUAAUGCUGACUAAAUGGAAAAGUUCAGUUCAGGGUUUAAAACCCUAAUUCUGACUGAAAGGAAGAAUUCAGUUUAAGGUUUAAAACCCUAAUGCUGACUGGAAGGAAAAAGCUCAGUUUAGGGUUUAAAACCCUAAUGCUGGCAGAAUGGAAAGAGUUCAGUUUAGGGUUUAAAACCCUAAUGCUGACUAAAUGGAAAAGUUCAGUUCAGGGUUUAAAACCCUGAUGCUGAUCAAAGGAAAAAGUUCAGUUCAGGGGUUUAAAACCCUAAUGCUGACUGAAAGGAAAAAUUCUGUUUAGGGUUUAAAACCCUAAUGCUGACUGGAAGGAAAAGCUCAGUUUAGGGUUUAAAACCCUAAUGUUGGCUGAACGGAAAAAGUUUAGUUUAUGGUUUAAAACCCUAAGGCUGAUUAAAUGAAAAAGUUCAGUUCAGGGUUUAAAACCCUAAUGCUGAUCAAAGGAAAGAAUUCAGUUUAGGGUUUAAAACCCUAAUGUUGACAUGCAUGGAAAAAGCUUAGUUUAGGGUUUAAAACCCUAAUGCUGGCUGAAUGGAAAGAGUUCAGUUUAGGGUUUAAAACCCUAAUGCUGACUAAAUGGAAAAGUUCAGUUUAGGGUUUAAAACCCUGAUGCUGAUCAAAGGAAAAAGUUCAGUUCAGGGUUUAAACCCCUAAUGCUGACUGAAAGGAAAAAUUCAGUUUAGGGUUUAAAACCCUAAUGCUGACUGGAAGGAAAAGCUCAAUUUAGGGUUUAAAACCCUAAUGUUGGCUGAACGGAAAAAGUUCAGUUUAUGGUUUAAAACCCUAAGGCUGAUUAAAGGAAAAAGUUCAGUUCAGGGUUUAAAACCCUAAUGCUGACUAAAGGAAAGAGUUCAGUUUAGGGUUUAAAACCCUAAUGCUGACAUGCAUGGAAAAAGCUCAGUUUAGGGUUUAAAACCCUAAUGCUGGCUGAAUGGAAAGAGUUCAGUUUAGGGUUUAAAACCCUAAUGCUGACUAAAUGGAAAAGUUCAGUUCAGGGUUUAAAACCCUGAUGCUGAUCAAAGGAAAAGGUUCAGUUCAGGGUUUAAAACCCUAAUGCUGACUGAAAGGAAAAAUUCAGUUUAGGGUUUAAAACCCUAAUGCUGGCCGAAAGGGAAAAGUUCAGUUUAGGGUUUAAAACCCUAAUGCUGAUUGCAUGGGAAAAACUCAGUU
RNAcentral lists this long non-coding RNA (1263 nucleotides) under Nicotiana tabacum (common tobacco). RNAcentral's name for it is "long non-coding RNA (NTAB_LNC014383)". Lineage: Eukaryota; Viridiplantae; Streptophyta; Magnoliopsida; Solanales; Solanaceae. The record is from RNAcentral.